ACGGGGUGCAGCAGGCGCGAAACCUCCACAAUGCGCGAAAGCGUGAUGGGGUUAUCCCGAGUGCCGUCCGAUGAGGACGGCUUUUCAUCGGUGUAAGGAUCCGAUGGAAUAAAGGGGGGGCAAGACUGGUGUCAGCCGCCGCGGUAAUACCAGCCCCCUGAGUGGUAAGGACGAUUAUUUGGCCUAAAGCGUUCGUAGCCGGCUUAUCAAGUCUUUUGUUAAAUCCAACGAUUCAAUCGUUGGGCCGCAAAAGAUACUGUUAUGCUAGAGGACGGGAGAGGUCGACGGUAUUCCAGGGGUAGGGGUGAAAUCCUAUAAUCCUUGGAGGACCACCAGUGGCGAAGGCGGUCGACUAGAACGUGCCUGACGGUGAGGGACGAAAGCUGGGGGAGCGAACCGGAUUAGAUACCCGGGUAGUCCCAGCCGUAAACGAUGCGGGCUAGGUGUUGGGGCAGCCAUGAGCUGCUCCAGUGCCGCAGAGAAGUUAUUAAGCCCGCCGCCUGGGGAGUACGGCCGCAAGGCUGAAACUUAAAGGAAUUGGCGGGGGAGCACCACAAGGGGUGAAGGCUGCGGUUUAAUUGGAGUCAACGCCGGGAACCUUACCGGGGCUGACAGCAGAGUGAAGGCCAGACUGAAGAUCUUGCCAGACAAGCUGAGAGGAGGUGCAUGGCCGUCGACAGUUCGUGCCGUGAGGUGUCCUGUUAAGUCAGGCAACGAACGAGACCCCCGCUUUUAGUUGCCAGCGGAUUCCAACGGAAUGCCGGGCACACUAACGGGACUGCCACCGAUAAG
This 792-nucleotide ribosomal RNA is filed under the name uncultured archaeon. RNAcentral's name for it is "bacterial SSU rRNA". It matches the Rfam family "Archaeal small subunit ribosomal RNA", at positions 325 to 1118 of the family's 1478-position model. The record is from RNAcentral.